GCAGCUCAGUCGGGUAAGCGCCCGCUUCUCACGCAAGAGAUGCGGGUUCGAAUCCCGGCGCU
RNAcentral lists this transfer RNA (62 nucleotides) under Plutella xylostella (diamondback moth). Its description in RNAcentral is "tRNA-Glu". The record is from RNAcentral. Lineage: Eukaryota; Metazoa; Arthropoda; Insecta; Lepidoptera; Plutellidae.